GACGAACCGUGCAAACGUUAUUCGGAAUCACUGGGCUUAAAGGGCGCGUAGGCGGGCUGGCCAGUCAGGGGUGAAAGCCCACGGCUCAACCGUGGAAGUGCCUUUGAUACUGCCAGUCUGGAGGGAGGUAGGGGCGUGCGGAACUUCCGGUGGAGCGGUGAAAUGCGUAGAUAUCGGAAGGAACACCGGUGGCGAAAGCGGCGCGCUGGACCUCUUCUGACGCUGAGGCGCGAAAGCCAGGGGAGCAAACGGG
Molecule: ribosomal RNA, 253 nt
Filed under: uncultured bacterium
Lineage: Bacteria
Description: partial 16S ribosomal RNA
Rfam family: Bacterial small subunit ribosomal RNA
Source: RNAcentral